AAAAGUACUUGUGGAUUUGCCAUCACCUUUACCUUUAAUGGCAAAACGGCAGUUACUUUUGC
This 62-nucleotide microRNA precursor is filed under the name Pan troglodytes (chimpanzee). RNAcentral describes it as "miRNA". Lineage: Eukaryota; Metazoa; Chordata; Mammalia; Primates; Hominidae. The record is from RNAcentral.